UUAUCAAUUUAACAGUUCGUGGGAUAGACGCUCGUAAGGCUACCCUUCCCACGCUGUUUCAACCCUUUGUCUUUUGCGUACUGUAUGUUUCCUCGGCGGGUUCGCCCGCCGAUAGGACACUUCAAAACCUUUUGUAAUUGCAAUCAGCGUCAGAAAAACUAUAAUAGUUACAACUUUCAACAACGGAUCUCUUGGUUCUGGCAUCGAUGAAGAACGCAGCGAAAUGCGAAAAGUAGUGUGAAUUGCAGAAUUCAGUGAAUCAUCGAAUCUUUGAACGCACAUUGCGCCCCUUGGUAUUCCAUGGGGCAUGCCUGUUCGAGCGUCAUUUGUACCCUCAAGCUCUGCUUGGUGUUGGGUGUUUGUCCCGCCUCGCGCGUGGACUCGCCUUAAAGUCAUUGGCAGCCGGAAUAAUUCUGGGGAACGCAGCACAACUGCAGCCUCCAUUUUACGCCGAGCGUCCAGUAAGCCUUUUUUUCAACGUUUGACCUCGGAUCAGGUAGGGAUACCCGCUGAACUUAAGCAUAUCAAUAAGCGGAGGAAAAGAAACCAACAGGGAUUGCCCUAGUAACGGCGAGUGAAGCGGCAUCAGCUCAAAUUUGAAAUCUGGCUCUUUCAGGGUCCGAGUUGUAAUUUGCAGAGGGAGCUUUCGAGUUGGCAGCGGUCUAAGUUCCUUGGAACAGGACGUCACAGAGGGUGAGAAUCCCGUACGUGGUCGCAGGCCUUCUCGAGGUAAAGCCCCUUCGACGAGUCGAGUUGUUUGGGAAUGCAGCUCUAAAUGGGAGGUAAAUUUCUUCUAA
RNAcentral lists this ribosomal RNA (797 nucleotides) under fungal sp. RNAcentral describes it as "eukaryotic LSU rRNA". The stretch from base 483 to 797 matches the Rfam family "Eukaryotic large subunit ribosomal RNA", at positions 1 to 313 of the family's 3401-position model. The record is from RNAcentral. Lineage: Eukaryota; Fungi.